AUAGCCUUUCGAAAGAAAGAUUAAUACCCGAUGGCAUAGUUCUUCCGCAUGGUGGAACUAUUAAAGAAUUUCGGUCAUCGAUGGGGAUGCGUUCCAUUAGGUUGUUGGCGGGGUAACGGCCCACCAAGCCUUCGAUGGAUAGGGGUUCUGAGAGGAAGGUCCCCCACAUUGGAACUGAGACACGGUCCAAACUCCUACGGGAGGCAGCAUG
This 211-nucleotide ribosomal RNA is filed under the name uncultured bacterium. RNAcentral's name for it is "partial 16S ribosomal RNA". It matches the Rfam family "Bacterial small subunit ribosomal RNA", at positions 143 to 353 of the family's 1533-position model. The record is from RNAcentral.